GCUUUGAAUCUCUGUGUUUUAAGUUGGAUUUCUAAUUUGUAAAUACACAAGACCAUGAUAUGUUAAACAGUAAUCACAGAUUUGAGUUUUAUGCUCUGCAAGUCUCAGUGUUUCCUGCCAAAGCCCGGGACUGCUGCCGGCUCCAGGGGUUGGUUGGGGACGGAUCGUCAGUUCAAACCUUGGAAUAAGGCCGCCUUGCCAAGCAGCGUUAAGAAAGGAAGCUCAGUCGUAAUGCAUUUACAUAUGCACAUAUGCAUGUACACACAGUGACAGAUUUUGUACACCCACUUAUUCCAACUGAUGUGAGUGAUGUCGGUAUUUCAUCAUCCCCGCUACACUGAGUGAAUGUAAGCAUGUACUACACACACACACACACACACACACACACACACACACACACACACACACACCGUCCCAGCUGGCUCUGAUCAGCUUGUUCAGCAUCCAAUGCUAAUGAGACAGCUUGGCUGACUCGGCGUACAUCGAAUAUACCCUCGCCUUCAUAUUUGAAUAAUUUACAGACACAAACAUAUCUUCAUAUUAAUUGGCUUAAAUAUGAAAUAGACUUAAGUGUUAUUAUAAAAGUUUAAAAAGAUAAAAGAAAGCUUCCUGUUUUAUUUUCUUCAUGUCUCCUGCUGUGCAUCGAGGAUUUAGCUAAAUUCUCCAUGAAGCUCCCCAGUCCACAAUUUGGAUCUUUAUCCGUGAGGCUUCGAAAUUCAGAAUCCUAGCAUAACUGAUUUUUAUAUGUGUGUGUGUGUGUGUGUGUCUAAACUGUUUCCAAAUCUGCAGCGAUGCCAGCUCCUUUCCACACUCCGCUAAACUUUUUUUUUUUUUCUAAGUUCUCUACCAACUGUGUGCCAGAAUUAAUCAACACUUUCUUUCAACAGAAACUUCUCGGUGACGGUUCAAAAAAAAAGUUUGGAUUUGGAAAAGAACUCGAGAGAAAUGUUGUUGGCGAGAAGUCAUUUGGUUUGAUGGUAUGCUUUAGAGUUAAAUCAGCUAUGAAAUGAGCAAAUUUAAAGGAGGAUGAUUUAAGUUUGAAAUGAUUCAUUCUGGUAUAUUUGAAAGAACUCAUAACCUCUUUUUUUAGGUUGUCUUUUGGAGAAGGUUCCUCUGAAUUAGGAGCAAUACAUGUAUGCAUGUUCUUUUACGCAUGCACAGGCUUCUCCACCUAAAUCAUCCAAUUCCACAGCAACUGUUUUAACCUUUGAGACUGAGAUCUAUUCAUCGUCGAUGAGAAUUAGCACCUCUUCUCAUGAGUCCUCUUUCUCACUAUAUUUCCCCAUCCUUUCCUGACUGUUACACUAGCAGAGCUGGUUUAGCCUUUGGCCCCUCGGCAGACUGCUGGGCUAUUUCUGGAGCUUGGAGAGGGGAGCGUUUGAGGAAAGGAGGCUCUUGCCCACUUCAGCUUGUCUUCCGAGCAUCGCCUCAGGGUAGACAAAUGCUAAGCUGAGAGUGUAAACUGAAUAGAUAAUCGAGUUGACCACAGAGUGCGUUCACUUACUUUAAGAAAAAAACAAACAAACGUAUGAUCAAUUUUCUCUCAUUCUUUAAAUGCCCGAUCAGGAUAAAAAUGCGUCAUGUAAACAUGUUGAUUGGAAGAUUCUGAUCCAAUUCGGCUCAAUCGGAAAGAAAUUGUAUUCCGAUUGAGAGGGGUGGUUUAUGCCGAUCGUUAUUCCCAAACACAUCCAUGUAAACACUAAUUCCGAUCGUGACUCUCUUCCUCAAUCUUCAGUCUUUAGUCUUUGGCUUAUUUAUUGAGACCAAUGCAAGAGGUCUCAUUAUUACGCUCUGGCUUAAAACAUAACUGCAGGUGCCGCGCCUCCUACUCCGCUAACAUAACAAGGCGUACAUAUAGCAAAAUAAUGUCACAUCUACACACACAGCGCAACCGGGGGGAAAACUCCUGAAUCGGAUGGAGUGAUACUACUGCAUGAAUACAACUCUUCUUCUGUGGUUGUUUUAGCAGAUUAGAUAACUAUAUGUCCAAAUGCUUCUAAUCUGAAUAAAGCUUGUCAUGAUUGGAUUAUUUGAUUUUGCACCCAUACAAACAGUGGAUUCAGAUUAUCCGAUCCCUCAAUUUUUUAAUCUGAUCAAGAAUUUGCACAUGUAGACAUGGCUUUUGAGAGGCUGAAACAAAACGGAUCUGUUCAGAUGAGAACCUGUCCUCAAAGGGGAAUCCAAACAGGGAGCUGUUAGGUAUUAAAUCAAUGCACUUUAAGCUCCCUUUUCAUCGUGACCUCCCUUUAUUUGAGGCUGUGCUGGAAUGAAACAUCCCCUUGCCCCUCUCUGUCUUUGUACCAGAGCGGUUUCAGAUGCCAACAGUCAUAAACAAGAUGGCCAACAAUAAAGCAAGAGGCUGUUAAACUAAAACCAGAGCCAAUUCAUUUCAAAGCUGCUCCAAGGUCUCAAAGGACAGACGUGGACCCAGAUCAACCUCUGAUACUGCUACCGUGAGGCGCAUUCUUUUGAGAGAAAAAUAUGUUCUGAUCCUAAACAACGGCGCCAUCUGUACUUUAUUUCACCUUUAUUUGUUAUUCCCUGCCCUUGGUUUUUCUCCCUGAAUCAUUUGAAGUCUUGUUGACUCGCUCCGUGUUUGUGAUGGCUCCUCAGAGCGAUGCCGGAGUCUGUGAGCGGUAACACGGUGUUUGGUUUUACCUUGAGAGUUUAUGACGCAGGGCCUUAGAAACAGAUGUUUGCAAUUCCCUGACCAAUUUUCCCAUUAAAUAAAGCUUUUGAUUUAUUUUGGAUUGUUUUCUUUUUAAUGAUGAUUUAGAUUGGUAAAAUGUCAGUAAAUGAACUUGUAAAUGGCAGAAGAGCAAUUAUUGUGAGGGCCAUCUGUGAUGCGCUGGAAUGAGACUGCAGGUAGACGUCCUCCCAUUAUCUUUUUACUGCGGUAUACACCCUGGAAAGGUCUAUCACAGGGCUGACAUGUAGAGACAUGCAACCGUUCAUGUUGGAGUUACCUAGAGAAAACCCACGCAUGCACAACCUGCAGCUGUCAAUGCAAACUCCACACAGAAAGCAAAAACUUCCUUUUUCAUACCGUAUUCUGGCAACAUGCCCUAAACAGGCCAACAACUGUUGCCACGCACAAGUAGGUCAGGGUUUCCCAAAGCCCUCUGCUGCAUUUUCAAACUACGAUACGUAGAGGAGGCUUCAUGCUAAUUUUGUCAGCAUAGAUCAGGAUCUCGAAGGAGCUGGUGGGUGCGUGCCCAUCAGCGGUUGUACGCCUGCCCGGCUUCUUGGGUGUGACUGCGUGAGAGUUGUGUCAGAUGUCAGCCUCGCAGCCUGAAAGCCAAACAGCGCGGUGACAGAAAUCAGACUUUGAGUUUGAUUUGUCUUCAAAGGGAGCAAUUUAUUUUCACUCUGCAUGAGUGGACACAUCGACAACUGUGUGCUCGUCUCUGCGUGGGAGUGGGUGUGUCUGACUAAGUAAUUGCCUGUCUUUCUCUGCAACUGUCUUUUGUUUACAGAAAACAGCGUUUGUUUUUGUUCGCAUGUAUAUCUGACUCGUGGAAAAGCAGAUUGCAGAAGCAUUAACCUGAUCACCUCCUGAGCUCUGAUCUUCCUACCUGCUUCCUACAUCUACAGCAGAAGGUUGCUGUGCUCAUUGACUCUCAGAACUGCUGUUUUUGUUGGUAGACGCCUUAAGAAUAAAGAGCAGAACAAGCACAGAACCUGCUGGAGGGUUUUUUGCAAAGAUUGAGGUCACAAACCGGUCUAUCUCUGCAACCUGCAGCCAUGAAGAACAUACGCAACACGAGGCCAAUCCCUGUUUCUCUCUCAUAUUUGCAGAGAAUUCAUGCACAUGCAAAAACACACCCACCAAAUCCAUGUUUUUAAGCGCCCACUGUCACACAUAUUUGGCGACACAGCUUAUUUUACUUGGUCUGUGGUUUUACAGAAUGUGAUAACAGCUGUUUAAAUACUCACUUUGCAUACUAAAAACAUCCAAAAUGAUCAGUAUUGUUAAUACAGCAUAAAUAUUCAUUUGAUUUAACCACAAGGAUUCACUGCCAGCAUUACAGCCAGUUCAAACCAGUUAUUGAAAACAAAAAACAGCCAGUUUGUGAUAGCCUCACUGGGACCAUUAAUCAAAGUGAGAACAUUCAUUAAACCCUCAUCCUCCUUCCUCUCUCUGUCUCUGCUGCGUUGGAUAGAGAGCCGAGGAUCUUUCUAAUACAUCCUCAUUAAAGACACUCAUGUUUUUCAACACUACAAAUGCAACACCAACUUUUUUUUUUUUUGCAAGAGUUUUAGUUUCUAAUUUAUUCAAUUUCUAAAAGCAAACUGGAACCAGAGUCUGCAGAGUGAGCAGAAAUAAAUCAGUGUAAGUCACUGAGGUGUCCGCAUCUAGGUUAGCUUGAGCAGAACCCUGACGCUUUAGCAGGCGAUUCAAAAGCUGAACUAACCUUGAUUAAAACACGCAUGGAGUUUGAUUUACAUUUUCCCAUCCCCUCAUCUGAACUCCAAGUAACUUUAUUAGGAGCUGAAAUGGGAUUCACAAGAGCUGUGGAUGUUGUAAAUUUUUAAUGAGUGCAAAAUUUAUUCAAAUCACUGCAGACUCGCUAUGUGCAGGUAAUUCUCUGAAAUAAUUAUCCGCUGCACCUUUAGGCACAUGAAGCUAUUUUAAGUAGGAUCACAGUCGGUAUGUUUACAUGCAGGGUCAUGUCGAGUUACAGUUACAGCCCCUGCACCUGGUAAGACCCGAGUCAUUGACAAAAGUAGGUCUGCCUCUGCUGCAGUAAUAGUUGGACACUUGAGACGGUUUUGGUCUCUUUUGUUAUCACAUAUCAAAGGAGAUGAGCCCCUCCUGAAGCCCCAUACAUUAUAUCCUCUCCACAGUUAAAACAGGGACAAAGAAUCGCUCAUUGAGAUUAAUCAUUCCUCAUCCAUCUCCUCCAUGUAGAACACCGCCUUCAUUAAUCACCAGGAUUUUCAAGAUACAGCACAGAGGCAGGACCAGGACCAGCCUGAAAGCCUCUGCUCUUGAACUGCAGAGCUCCCUGCCACGCUAGAGGAGGCUCCACAUCCGUCCCUCUCUCCUCCUCCUCCUGACUUCCUCACUGCAAUUGUCUGUCAGAUUCUUCCUCUCCACUACCUUGCUGUGCAUCCGCUCUAGAUCCCCUGCUG
RNAcentral lists this long non-coding RNA (5136 nucleotides) under Xyrichtys novacula (pearly razorfish). Lineage: Eukaryota; Metazoa; Chordata; Actinopteri; Labriformes; Labridae. The record is from RNAcentral.